Molecule: ribosomal RNA, 1069 nt
Filed under: Chloropicon mariensis
Lineage: Eukaryota; Viridiplantae; Chlorophyta; Chloropicophyceae; Chloropicales; Chloropicaceae
Description: partial Bacterial large subunit ribosomal RNA
Rfam family: Bacterial large subunit ribosomal RNA
Source: RNAcentral
CACUGUUUCGGCUAGGGGGUCAUCCCGACUUACCAAACCGAUGCAAACUCCGAAUACCUACAAGUGCCGAGCAUGGGAGACACACGGCGGGUGCUAACGUCCGUCGUGAAGAGGGAAACAACCCAGACCGCCAGCUAAGGUCCCAAAGUACCAGUUAAGUGGGAAACGAUGUGGGAAGGCUCAGACAGCUAGGAGGUUGGCUUAGAAGCAGCCAUCCUUUAAAGAAAGCGUAAUAGCUCACUAGUCGAGUCGGCCUGCGCGGAAGAUGUAACGGGGCUCAAACUGGUCACCGAAGCUGCGGCUGCAUACUUUGUAUGCGGGGUAGGGGAGCGUUCUGUAAGCCUGUGAAGGUGUGUUGAGAAGCAUGCUGGAGGUAUCAGAAGUGCGAAUGCUGACAUGAGUAACGACAAUGCGGGUGAAAAACCCGCACGCCGGAAGACCAAGGGUUCCUGCGCAACGCUAAUCGGCGCAGGGUGAGUCGGCCCCUAAGGCGAGACCGAAAGGUGUAGUCGAUGGGAAACGGGUUAAUAUUCCCGUACCUUGGAUAGCUGCGAUGGAGAGACGGAGAAGGCUAGGUGAGCCGGGCGACGGUUGUCCCGGUUUAAGCAUGUAGGCGGAGGUUCCAGGUAAAUCCGGUACCUUUUAACGCUGAGGUGUGAUGACGAGGCACUACGGUGCUGAAGUAACAAAUGCCCUGCUUCCAGGAAAAGCCUCUAAGCUUCAGGUAACUAGGAACCGUACCCCAAACCGACACAGGUGGUCAGGUAGAGAAUACCAAGGCGCUUGAGAGAACUCGGGUGAAGGAACUAGGCAAAAUGGCACCGUAACUUCGGGAGAAGGUGCGCCGGUGAGGGUGAAGGACUUGCUCCGUAAGCUCAUGCCGGUCGAAGAUACCAGGCCGCUGCGACUGUUUAUUAAAAACACAGCACUCUGCAAACACGAAAGUGGACGUAUAGGGUGUGACGCCUGCCCGGUGCCGGAAGGUUAAUUGAUGGGGUUAGCGCUUGCGCGAAGCUCUUGAUCGAAGCCCCGGUAAACGGCGGCCGUAACAAUAACGGUCCUAAGGUAG